Molecule: long non-coding RNA, 150 nt
Organism: Sycon ciliatum
Lineage: Eukaryota; Metazoa; Porifera; Calcarea; Leucosolenida; Sycettidae
Exons: 3
Source: RefSeq, a predicted model, not a curated record
AGGUAUUCACGAUGGUCACUGUCCAUGUUGCAGGUGUGAAUAGUCGGAAAGGAAUUCACGGUGGUCAAUGUACAUGUUGCAGCUGUGAAUAGUCGGAAAGGAAUUCACGAUAGUCACUGUCGAAGUUGCAGGUGUGAAUAGUGGGAAAGG